Pleodorina starrii is the source of this 84-nucleotide non-coding RNA. Lineage: Eukaryota; Viridiplantae; Chlorophyta; Chlorophyceae; Chlamydomonadales; Volvocaceae. The record is from the annotation of a GenBank genome assembly.
GUCCCGUUGGCGUAGUGGAUUAACGCACUGGACUUCUAUUGAGCAGAUAUCCAGGGAUCAUGGGUUCGAAUCCCAUACGGGACG